Molecule: ribosomal RNA, 474 nt
Filed under: Streptomyces sp. 313B10
Lineage: Bacteria; Bacillati; Actinomycetota; Actinomycetes; Kitasatosporales; Streptomycetaceae
Description: bacterial SSU rRNA
Rfam family: Bacterial small subunit ribosomal RNA
Source: RNAcentral
UAGUGGCGAACGGGUGAGUAACACGUGGGCAAUCUGCCCUUCACUCUGGGACAAGCCCUGGAAACGGGGUCUAAUACCGGAUAACACUCUGUCCCGCAUGGGACGGGGUUGAAAGCUCCGGCGGUGAAGGAUGAGCCCGCGGCCUAUCAGCUUGUUGGUGGGGUGAUGGCCUACCAAGGCGACGACGGGUAGCCGGCCUGAGAGGGCGACCGGCCACACUGGGACUGAGACACGGCCCAGACUCCUACGGGAGGCAGCAGUGGGGAAUAUUGCACAAUGGGCGAAAGCCUGAUGCAGCGACGCCGCGUGAGGGAUGACGGCCUUCGGGUUGUAAACCUCUUUCAGCAGGGAAGAAGCGAAAGUGACGGUACCUGCAGAAGAAGCGCCGGCUAACUACGUGCCAGCAGCCGCGGUAAUACGUAGGGCGCAAGCGUUGUCCGGAAUUAUUGGGCGUAAAGAGCUCGUAGGCGGCUU